UUGAUGGUCCUUUAAACCCCUAGAGCACACCCUUUCUACCAAACCUCUCUGAAACAAAGAGAGAGAUCUAUAGGCAUCUACAUAGGAAUCAGGCUGCCGCCACAGAAAACAUGUCACGUGGUGGAGACUCAAUGUGAUGCUGGAAAAUAGAGCCCCAGAGGAAGUAUGGAUCCAAGAUGGAGAAUUUCUGCUUUAGUGGGCACCAUUACUGAUGGAAGUGGAUAAAAUUCUUUAAGGGAAUGGAACAGAAAAACAGAUUGUGAAUUGCUGGCACGAUUCAGAAGCACCUAAGGAUAAAGAAGGAAUCAUGAGGACAUGACACGAUUUACUUUUAAUAAAAAGUCAGACCAAA
Long non-coding RNA from Suricata suricatta (meerkat), 352 nucleotides. RefSeq lists it as uncharacterized. The record is from RefSeq and is a predicted model, not a curated record. The transcript has 2 exons. Lineage: Eukaryota; Metazoa; Chordata; Mammalia; Carnivora; Herpestidae.